Anopheles merus is the source of this 3231-nucleotide long non-coding RNA. RefSeq lists it as uncharacterized. Lineage: Eukaryota; Metazoa; Arthropoda; Insecta; Diptera; Culicidae. The record is from RefSeq and is a predicted model, not a curated record. The transcript has 3 exons.
GAUUUUGCCGCAAGCUUUUGUAUGGGAUUUGACGUUAAUGACAGCACUUGCGAAUCUGCCGCAUGCCGCGAUGCGGCAAAAUCAAAAUCAUUUGAUAUUGCCGCAUCGCCACAUGCAAUUUUAUUUCAGAUGUCAAAUGUCUAAAAUCAUAUCAAAUAAUGAUUAUCUUUAUAAAGAAACAACAAAAUAUCAUUAUAAUACCUUGCAUAGCUAGAAAAUCGAGAAAACUCUCUUCUUGUCGCAUGCGGCGAAGUUCUGACCGCUGCCUUACAUAGGAGAAGCGUUAAGGCGAAAAGCCAUGAGAAUGACAAAAUGCUGACAAAUUUUUCAAAACGUGAGCUUUUGUCACUGUUUUUGAGCUUUUGUCAACAUUUUGUAACCUGUAGCAGCCACCCAAAUGACAAUCUAGCCUACUCUCACUAUGGCGAGCUCAAUGACAGCUGCUUCAACCCAUACUGAGAGGCUAUCAUCGUUUCCUCCUGCGUACUGAGCAAGCUUGUUUUUUCCCCUCGCUGAGGCGAGAUGAUUUUGUUUGUAUGGUGAGCAAAUCUAUCGCCGAUGAUUGCUCUAAUGAGAUGAUCAAGCAACAGCCGCUCACAUGAUGAAAUCAUGAUGAGGUCGGAUUUUGGAGUGAGUAAAAACAUUUCCUCCUCAUCGAGCCGCCAUUGUGUUAUGGUUUGAGGAGAACAUUGGAUCAUCAACGAAUUGUUUACAUUUGUAAAACGUGCAUUCAGUGUCCGCGGGCUACAUUUAUCGAUUCUUUUGUUGAAAGAGCAUAUCAAAUAUCCCGAAUCCGUUAAAUUAUAGUGAAAUACUGCACAUGACACACGAUGCGUUGAAGGAAACGUAAAACCAUGUGUGGGAAGAUGAUGAAUAACUGCCCGGGCCAAUCAUUCAAGUACUGCCGCUAGAGGACAAUAAAUGUUCCACUAUCGGCAGGUUGAAGUGAUAAACAACAAAUGAAGCAGCGCUAGAAGAUGAAGAUGAUGAUACCCAGUUAUGCUAAGGCCAAUAUCCGCUUGAAGACUCCCAUAGUGAAAAGGAAGUGCAUACGGAUCUUGAAUACGUAGAUAGACUGCGAAUCGAAUCGUAGUCGAGCCAAAUGCUCACAUCAUGGUAGCAGAUAUGAACUGUAAUUAAGCAAUGUUCGACCUCGCGUGUCCAUUGAUGAUAGAACUUAACUAUAUUGAAGAAAACAAUUCAGGAUUACAUGUUGGACCAUCAUCGCUGUUUUUGAGGCGCAAAUAUGUAUCAAACGUCUUGGAUGUAUGAAUACGUGCAUCGUGCUAUCAGGUCCAUGCUCCGCAGCAAGGACUGACUAUUCGGCUACGUGAUACGGAAUAAGUCUCGAAAUCUGUGCUGUCCGGCAUGUCCGGCUGCGUAUUUGACGUUACGCCAAAUAGAAGACUCGAGAUUAGAACUGCCCGCAGUGCAAGUGACAGCGAUUUGCGAGGGCGCGCGAGGGCUCGCACGCCAUACAAGUUCACAGCUCCAGAGCCCUCGCAUGAAAGAGCUUGCGAGCCUUGGCAGUUUUUUGACAUGUCAUAUGAGCGAGACAGCUGUAUGCCCUGUGUAUGGAUAUCUCUUUCUGGCAAGAAAAAAAGCUCCGGACAAAAUUUAAAUGGCCAAAAUUUUUGACCACACCCUCUCUCUCUCCCGGUUUCUUCCCCCUGUCCUCUCUUCUUUUAGGUCCCUAAUUCUUAUUUGCGCGCCGCUCGCUUGUGUGCGAUAGAUCAUCAGCUGAUACUGGUGUAUGGUUGGGUUGUAGUUGUAUCUCUGAAUUGGCGAUUGGUACAUAUAUAUGUAGUGUAUUUGGUUUUACCUCGUCAAGGUCACGACGAUGCGAGAACCGAUCGAUUCUGGUGUUGAAGCAUUAUUUGUGCUUUGCUGGUGGUUGCCGUUCCGUGCCGUUUCUGAUGUGGCCAUUUGAUCGCCAUGUCGAUCAACGGGUAUGAAGCCAAUUUCAAACGAGCGAAGGUGAAGGACUAGUUCCGUACCGGAAAAUUGAUUUUUUUAUCGUGUGUGAUACUCCAAUACUGAUCUCGACCCGAUGUAAGCUGGUUUUGACGGCCAUAUGAGAUAAUGUAUUCAUGUUUUAAAAAAUGUCGCAAUUUUUUCUUUCCUGAUUUUCCCGUAAAUUGACCCACAAUUCAAUACUAUUUGACUAUUUUAAUUGAUUCCUCAUACAACGCAUGGAAAGAGGUAAACUGGCUUCGCCAAUUCAUUUAUCACCGCUCUCAACAAUUCAUCACCCGAACCACCCAUAACCUCAUCAUUCCAUCCACAUGCAACGACUUUAACAGCAAAGUUCUCAAUCGAAGCUUCUACAAACUGCUUCUUUCCAUUUUCCUUUUUCUUCUUCUUCUAUUUGUCGCAUCCAUCUACCUGGUCAUGCCAGCCAAUGCAAGUUUUACCGUCUUUUUUAGUACCACACACCGGGCUGGUCAGUCCUUACAACGAAGGGACAGUCCAUAUGAGGCUUGAAUCUAUGACGGGCAGGAUAUUAUCAUCCUUUGCCCAUAUACCUUUCCUUCCGUGUCCACACAACAACAAUAAAAAAUGAGCCACAAAAUUACACAUAAACAUCGUUCAUAAAGCGACGUACAUAAGGAAGAAGAAAAAGAAAGCCACAUACAAAAACACACGCGGGAGGGGGGGGGGGGAGAGAGAGAACGGCCACUCCCGGUUCCGUGUCAAGAUCCUCACUGAGGGUAUCACACGCCGACAGCGCCUCUAUCAACGGUGAGCCCUCAGGAUCGGGCCGUGAUCUGUGCACAUCAUUUUGAACGUGUAAGCAACUGAUAAUAAAACGUUAGAAACGGACUCUCUCAUCCACAGGUACCAUCUCCUACCAUAUGUUACACAUUCUUUGACACACCAUGAACAGCUUCCUUUUGUCUGUCCUUGCGAACGACUAUGGACUGGAUGGUUCAGUACCAGGGGUAUGACAUGGUCUAACCAUCGCGGACAGGCGAGUAUGGUGCGCUACAAGCUACCAGAUGCACCAAGUUAAUCCAAUGUAAUGAUAGACUAGCAGUAUCCUUGCUGUUGGGGUUUGUAAAACACAAGACGAGGCAAAGCGACAUGCGCAAUCGAAAUGCAGUCCGCAAAAAUCCAGACAAAAUCAACUAGUGAACGUGCAUAGGAACCUUCUUAAAAACUAAAUAUAUGUCAUCAUGUUUAUUCCCCCUUUAAAAAUGCGUAGUGAUUUAUGAGAAUUUGAACUAUAUA